This 476-nucleotide ribosomal RNA is filed under the name uncultured organism. Its description in RNAcentral is "partial 16S ribosomal RNA". It matches the Rfam family "Bacterial small subunit ribosomal RNA", at positions 333 to 800 of the family's 1533-position model. The record is from RNAcentral.
ACACUCCUACGGGAGGCAGCAGUGGGGAAUUUUGGACAAUGGGGGCAACCCUGAUCCAGCAAUGCCGCGUGAGUGAAGAAGGCCUUCGGGUUGUAAAGCUCUUUUGUCAGGGAAGAAACGGUGGUGGCGAAUAACUACUACUAAUGACGGUACCUGAAGAAUAAGCACCGGCUAACUACGUGCCAGCAGCCGCGGUAAUACGUAGGGUGCAAGCGUUAAUCGGAAUUACUGGGCGUAAAGCGUGCGCAGGCGGUUGUGUAAGUCAGAUGUGAAAUCCCCGGGCUCAACCUGGGAAUUGCAUUUGAGACUGCACGGCUAGAGUGUGUCAGAGGGGGGUAGAAUUCCACGUGUAGCAGUGAAAUGCGUAGAUAUGUGGAGGAAUACCGAUGGCGAAGGCAGCCCCCUGGGAUAACACUGACGCUCAUGCACGAAAGCGUGGGGAGCAAACAGGAUUAGAUACCCCGGUAGUCCCAUGA